Molecule: long non-coding RNA, 171 nt
Organism: Octopus sinensis (East Asian common octopus)
Lineage: Eukaryota; Metazoa; Mollusca; Cephalopoda; Octopoda; Octopodidae
Exons: 3
Source: RefSeq, a predicted model, not a curated record
GGACUAAAGUUCGUACUUGGACAGCUUGCCGCAGCUCUCAGCAGCUGACAUGAGGUUAUGUGAGAGGCCGAUAACAGCCGCUGAAAUUUGGGAGGUGAUGAGCGAUUGCACAAGUCGCGGAUCGCCCGAUUUUGAUGAUCUUCGCUACUAAUUCUAUGCCAGUUUUAUUUG